RNAcentral lists this ribosomal RNA (488 nucleotides) under uncultured bacterium. RNAcentral's name for it is "partial 16S ribosomal RNA". It matches the Rfam family "Bacterial small subunit ribosomal RNA", at positions 28 to 507 of the family's 1533-position model. The record is from RNAcentral.
GACGAACGCUGGCGGCGUGCUUAACACAUGCAAGUCGAACGGAAAGGCCCUGCUUUUGUGGGGUGCUCGAGUGGCGAACGGGUGAGUAACACGUGAGUAACCUGCCCUUGACUUUGGGAUAACUUCAGGAAACUGGGGCUAAUACCGGAUAGGAGCUCCUGCUGCAUGGUGGGGGCUGGAAAGUUUCGGCGGUUGGGGAUGGACUCGCGGCUUAUCAGCUUGUUGGUGGGGUAGUGGCUUACCAAGGCUUUGACGGGUAGCCGGCCUGAGAGGGUGACCGGCCACACGGGAACGGAGACACGGGCCAGAGUACUACGGGAGGCAGCAGUAGGGAAGCGUCCGCAAGGGGCGAAAGCCUGACGGAGCAACGCCGCGUGAGUGACGAAGGUCUUCGGAGCGUAAAACGCUGUUAUGAGGGAAGAACAUAUGUGUAAGUAACUGUGCACAUCGUGACGGUACCUAAUCAGAAAGCCACGGCUAACUACGUG